GGCCCUUUGGUGCAGUGGAUAGCACAUUGGACUUCUAAUCUAAAGGUCACGGGUUCGAUCCCCACAAGGGCUC
Molecule: transfer RNA, 73 nt
Filed under: Bactrocera latifrons
Lineage: Eukaryota; Metazoa; Arthropoda; Insecta; Diptera; Tephritidae
Description: tRNA-Arg
Rfam family: tRNA
About the family: Transfer RNA (tRNA) molecules are approximately 80 nucleotides in length.
Source: RNAcentral